CUGCCCUGCGAGAUGAUAGUGGUAGAUGAACAAUGUCUGGUGGCGAUGCUUGAAAGCCUUUAUUUUUGUAAGACUUUAGGUAUUCUUUCUUGGAGGAUACAUAAAUCCUGGUGGGAGUAGCCUUCAGGGUUCGGCACUGUAUGAACAUGCAAUUCAAUGUAUAAUUGCGUAUGCCUUCAGGGUUCGGCACUGUAUGAACAUGCAAUUCAAUGUAUAAUUGCGUAUCAGUGGAUGUUUGUUGAGUGGCAGAACAGAAA
RNAcentral lists this long non-coding RNA (257 nucleotides) under Nicotiana benthamiana. Its description in RNAcentral is "long non-coding RNA (NBEN_LNC034436)". Lineage: Eukaryota; Viridiplantae; Streptophyta; Magnoliopsida; Solanales; Solanaceae. The record is from RNAcentral.